RNAcentral lists this ribosomal RNA (527 nucleotides) under uncultured bacterium. Its description in RNAcentral is "bacterial SSU rRNA". It matches the Rfam family "Bacterial small subunit ribosomal RNA", at positions 777 to 1302 of the family's 1533-position model. The record is from RNAcentral.
AAUAGAUACCCUGGUAGUCCACGCCGUAAACGAUGAGUGCUAAGUGUUAGAGGGUUUCCGCCCUUUAGUGCUGCAGCUAACGCAUUAAGCACUCCGCCUGGGGAGUACGGUCGCAAGACUGAAACUCAAAGGAAUUGACGAGGGCCCGCACAAGCGGUGGAGCAUGUGGUUUAAUUCGAAGCAACGCGAAGAACCUUACCAGGUCUUGACAUCCUCUGACAACUCUAGAGAUAGAGCGUUCCCCUUCGGGGGACAGAGUGACAGGUGGUGCAUGGUUGUCGUCAGCUCGUGUCGUGAGAUGUUGGGUUAAGUCCCGCAACGAGCGCAACCCUUGAUCUUAGUUGCCAGCAUUUAGUUGGGCACUCUAAGGUGACUGCCGGUGACAAACCGGAGGAAGGUGGGGAUGACGUCAAAUCAUCAUGCCCCUUAUGACCUGGGCUACACACGUGCUACAAUGGAUGGUACAAAGGGCUGCAAGACCGCGAGGUCAAGCCAAUCCCAUAAAACCAUUCUCAGUUCGGAUUGGU